AACGAACGCUGGCGGCAUGCCUAACACAUGCAAGUCGAACGAGACCUUCGGGUCUAGUGGCGCACGGGUGCGUAACGCGUGGGAAUCUGCCCUUGGGUUCGGAAUAACUCGCCGAAAGGCGUGCUAAUACCGGAUGAUGACUUAAGUCCAAAGAUUUAUCGCCUAAGGAUGAGCCCGCGUUGGAUUAGCUAGUUGGUGAGGUAAAGGCUCACCAAGGCUACGAUCCAUAGCUGGUCUGAGAGGAUGAUCAGCCACACUGGGACCGAGACACGGCCCAGACUCCUACGGGAGGAAGCAGUGGGGAAUAUUGGACAAUGGGCGAAAGACUGAUCCAGCAAUGCCGCGUGAGUGAUGAAGGCCUUAGGGUUGUAAAGCUCUUUUACACGGGAUGAUAAUGACCGUACCGGAAGAAUAAGCUCCGGCUAACUCCGUG
Molecule: ribosomal RNA, 433 nt
Filed under: uncultured bacterium
Lineage: Bacteria
Description: partial 16S ribosomal RNA
Rfam family: Bacterial small subunit ribosomal RNA
Source: RNAcentral